GCAGCGGUAGUUCAGUUGGUUAGAAUGCCGCCCUGUCACGGCGGAGGUCGCGGGUUCGAGUCCCGUCCGCUGCGCCA
RNAcentral lists this transfer RNA (77 nucleotides) under Campylobacter upsaliensis. RNAcentral's name for it is "tRNA-Asp". It matches the Rfam family "tRNA". From Rfam's summary of the family: Transfer RNA (tRNA) molecules are approximately 80 nucleotides in length. Their secondary structure includes four short double-helical elements and three loops (D, anti-codon, and T loops). Lineage: Bacteria; Pseudomonadati; Campylobacterota; Epsilonproteobacteria; Campylobacterales; Campylobacteraceae. The record is from RNAcentral.